GAAGGCGGGACGAGAGAGAGAGGGAGAGAGAGAGAGAGAGAGAGAGAGGGAGAGAGAGGGAGAGAGAGAGAGAGAGCGAGGGAGAGAGAGGGAGAGAGAGAGAGAGAGAGAGAGAGAGAGAGAGAGAGAGGGAGAGAGAGAGAGAGAGCGAGGGAGAGAGAGGGAGAGCGAGAGAGAGAGAGAGAGAGAGAGAGAGAGAGAGGCUGCUGCAGUGUGUGUGACUCAGAGUCAGUGUGAGUCUGACUCAGUGCGUGUGUGCGCGCGCCCGUGUGUGUGUGUGUGUGUGUGUGUGUGUGUGUGUGUGUGUGUGUGUGUGUGUGUGUGUGUGUGUAGGCAGCCAGCAGUCAGUGUGACUGCGAUCACUGGAGCGUGAGGAAGGCAGAAAAUUGUCUGUGUGUGUUUCUAAUGUGGUGUGUGUGUCUCUCUCUGUGUGUGUUGUUUCCUUGCAGAAAAUGCUGAUCUCUCUCUCUCUCUCUCUCUCUCUCUCUCUCUCUCUCUCAUUCUUGUGAUGAAUUGAAGUUCUCUGACAUGUGUUUCUCGGGGCGAUCGAGGAUGCUGACUGCAGCCUCAAUAAAACCCCGUCUCUCUUUCCUUUUCUGUCUCUUCCAGUCUCUUUCUUUAUCCCUCUCUCUGUCUCUGUCCUCCCUCCCUCUCCCUCUCUCUCUCUCUCUCUCUCUCCCUCUCUCUCCCUCCCUCUCUCUCUCUCUCUCCAUUUUCUCUCUAAUUUGCAGGUGAAACUUUCGGACUCGUGCACAAACAGCAAACAGAAGAAUCAGACCUUUUUAUGAGUGAAUUUGUCUCUGAGUUUCUGCUGCUUCUCUAUAAACUUCAUUUACUCUCUAACAACAGAGCGCUUUAAUAAAACUCUAUCAUGUCAGACUUACACCUCUGUGAAUUCAUUCAUCCUCUUUAUGAUUUUCAGCUCCACAAUAACAGACCCUGAUUCUGCAUGUUGUCAAAGGUGCACAUGUUCACUGAAUAUACACACCAGCGGCCAUAUUGCAUGACUCUUUAGAGACACAGAUGCAGGAAAGGACUGAUUAUUUCACGCACUCUCUGCAAAACUGUUGUUUAAACUAGGGCUGUCCUGACACGAUAUUGAUAUCGACUAUCGGUCCGAUAUCAACAAAAAAAAUCAAUAUAGGUUUACAUCGGCCUGCAUCAAAAACCUCCCAUAUCAGCACUCCGAUACAAGCAGUCCAUUCCAGACUCUGAUCCAGCACCUCUAACUAGCUGAUCCAGUUUACAGAGUCCACAUGAUCACAACACCAGUGUGGACUGAGUUACUAACAAAGUAGAGAGGAGUAGGAGUGAUGUCGGCUGUGUGGCAGCAUUUUUCGUUAAAGUCCGAAAAAGACGUCACAGCUGAGUGAAAAACUUGUCAUGUACAAGUUCGGGACACCCCUAAAAAAAAAUGAUGCAAACUGCACCACAAGAGUCCAGUCUGGUUUGACUUACAUGUGAUCAUGGAGGGUCUGCAGGUCUGUGUAUGAACAGAUGAAACUUCAAGAGUCCAAAACAAGAAGGAGCGUUUGUUUACAGAUGGAUGGGAGUCACAGCAGCUCCAGAGGUCUGAUAGGGUUUCAUAGGAAGGACUGGAUUUGAGUUGCACCAUGCAGUACACAUGCAAAAGUUGAAACCAGGUGUAAAACUUUCUUUUUUUCUGUAUUUAGUCAUUUUUAACUUUGUUUGAUAUUGUUACACCUGAUUUUACAGAGUCUAUUUCACAGUCCUUGUCCCUGGUUUGGCUUUUGGGAUGGUGCGAGCUCAACUACUGGCCGCCACAGUCGGGUUAACUCUUUUCGUGUUGCAUCUGCAAAAACAAAUAAUCUUUCUGACACUGAAAACUGUUUCAAACUAACUUAAAAUCAUCUAAACUACAUGAUCUAUCAGGAUUUAAAGUCGUGUUUUCAUUCUGGUUCUUCAGCUGACUGACAUCCGUCUGUUUUUCUCUAAAUUAUACAUUUCUAACAGCGAUGUUUACGGGAUAUAACUGAUGGAUUUCAUGGCUGCGAAACACACAGAGGCUUCAAAAUUGUUACUAAAAUGCACGGCAGGCCUGUGAACAUAAUCUCCACAUACACUCAGUCAGACAGAGCGAGACUAAAACCACUAAAUGUGGAUUUUGCUGCAAGAAGAGAAAAGUAUAUUAUAUUUUAAGUAAAUAUAUUUCAGCGUUACAGUGUCCAGUUUUAGAUUGUUCCUGAAAACGAGCUCGCAGAGACCUGGAUCCCGGUCUCAGACCUUAAUAAGAGACUGUCAGAUCCCUAAAGACCUGUCAGAUCACCAGUCACUGUUUGUAUUUUUAUCUCCAACCAAAAAAACUCUGAACUCUACAUCUGAAAGUUUAUAACCUCAUUUCUUAAGAGUCGAAUUUUGGACGAAUUGCCCCGUCUUCAGACCUUCUUUCUCGAGCUACUGUGGAACCGGUUUUUCUGAGAACCAGUUCUUUGGCGGUGGAAAACCAAAGACCUGAGUCUGGACUAGGACUUGAACCGACUUGGUGUAAAAAGGAGUAUCGUCCAUCUUUGAUCGAGACAUUAUUUCAUCACUCUGAUCAUGCAUCAUGACGGUCUGUAAAAACAUAAAGUUACAGUUGAUUUGAGGAGGACUGAGCAGCGUGUACCUGCUGUAAUUACAUAAGAGGAAGAUCCUGAAGAAGAGGAGACGGAGCCUGAGUUUGGUGAGGGGGCGUUUAAAGGGUUAAAGGGAGAUCUCAGCUCUCAUUCAGCGGCGUGUCUUACAGGCUGUGGUGUACUCCUCUUCUUCCUCAUCACUAUUCAUCUCCUCUGCCUCCCGCUCCUCUCUGCCCAUAUUUGGAUUUUCUGGUUUCUCUCUUCCUGACAGAAAUAGCUGCUGGUAAACCCAAGAUGCUGUUUCAUAAG
This 2885-nucleotide long non-coding RNA is filed under the name Xyrichtys novacula (pearly razorfish). The record is from RNAcentral. Lineage: Eukaryota; Metazoa; Chordata; Actinopteri; Labriformes; Labridae.